UCCGUAUGGUGCAAGCGUUAUCCGGAUUUACUGGGUGUAAAGGGAGCGCAGGCGGCACGGCAAGCCUGAUGUGAAAGCCCGCGGCCCAACCGCGGGACUGCAUUGGGAACUACCGGGCUGGAGUGCCGGAGAGGUAGGCGGAAUUCCUAGUGUAGCGGUGAAAUGCGUAGAUAUUAGGAGGAACACCAGUGGCGAAGGCGGCCUACUGGACGGUGACUGACGCUGAGGCUCGAAAGCGUGGGGAGCAAACAGG
This 253-nucleotide ribosomal RNA is filed under the name uncultured bacterium. RNAcentral describes it as "partial 16S ribosomal RNA". It matches the Rfam family "Bacterial small subunit ribosomal RNA", at positions 524 to 776 of the family's 1533-position model. The record is from RNAcentral.